AGGACGAACGCUGGCGGCGUGCUUAACACAUGCAAGUCGAGCGGUGAUCCUCCUUCGGGAGGUGAUCAGCGGCGAACGGGUGAGUAACACGUGGGCAACCUGCCCCUCACACUGGGAUAACCUCGGGAAACCGGGGCUAAUACCGGAUACGACCUCGAGCGGCAUCUCUUGAGGUGGAAAGCUCCGACGGUGAGGGAUGGGCCCGCGGCCUAUCAGCUUGUUGGUGGGGUAAUGGCCUACCAAGGCGACGACGGGUAGCCGGCCUGAGAGGGCGACCGGCCACACUGGGACUGAGACACGGCCCAGACUCCUACGGGAGGCAGCAGUGGGGAAUAUUGCGCAAUGGGCGAAAGCCUGACGCAGCGACGCCGCGUGAGGGAUGAAGGCCUUCGGGUUGUAAACCUCUUUCAGCAGGGACGAAGCGAAAGUGACGGUACCUGCAGAAGAAGCACGGCUAACUACGCGCCAGCAGCCGC
This 476-nucleotide ribosomal RNA is filed under the name uncultured bacterium. Its description in RNAcentral is "SSU rRNA". It matches the Rfam family "Bacterial small subunit ribosomal RNA", at positions 26 to 518 of the family's 1533-position model. The record is from RNAcentral.